This 25-nucleotide ribosomal RNA is filed under the name Fasciola gigantica. RNAcentral describes it as "partial 5.8S ribosomal RNA". Lineage: Eukaryota; Metazoa; Platyhelminthes; Trematoda; Plagiorchiida; Fasciolidae. The record is from RNAcentral. RNAcentral also lists the same sequence under 1 other name.
UGUGGCCACGCCUGUCCGAGGGUCG